RNAcentral lists this unclassified non-coding RNA (323 nucleotides) under uncultured fungus. RNAcentral describes it as "partial contains 5.8S ribosomal RNA and internal transcribed spacer 2". The stretch from base 1 to 133 matches the Rfam family "5.8S ribosomal RNA", at positions 22 to 154 of the family's 154-position model. The record is from RNAcentral. Lineage: Eukaryota; Fungi.
UGGUUCUGGCAUCGAUGAAGAACGCAGCGAAAUGCGGUAAGUAAUGCGAAUUGCAGAAUUCCGUGAGUCAUCGAAUCUUUGAACGCACGUUGCGCCCUUUGGCAUUCCGAAGGGCAUGCCUGUUCGAGCGUCAUUAUCAACCCUCAAGCUUAGCUUGGUGUUGGGCUACGGUAGUCAUCCACCGGCCCUAAAGGCAACGACGGUGUCUCCGGGACCCCCGGUACAAUGAGCUUUUUACAAGGCAUGUACUGUGGUGGGCUUGGGAUGCAGUCUCACUAUUUAUUUCUUAGGUUGACCUCGGAUCAGGUAGGGGUACCCGCUGA